AUUGAACGCUGGCGGCAGGCCUAACACAUGCAAGUCGAGCGGAUGAAGGGAGCUUGCUCCUGGAUUCAGCGGCGGACGGGUGAGUAAUGCCUAGGAAUCUGCCUGGUAGUGGGGGAUAACGUCCGGAAACGGGCGCUAAUACCGCAUACGUCCUGAGGGAGAAAGUGGGGGAUCUUCGGACCUCACGCUAUCAGAUGAGCCUAGGUCGGAUUAGCUAGGUGGUGGGGUAACGGCCUACCAAGGCGACGAUCCGUAACUGGUCUGAGAGGAUGAUCAGUCACACUGUAACUGAGACACGGUCCAGACUCCUACGGGAGGCAGCAGUGGGGAAUAUUGGACGAUGGGCGAAAGCCUGAUCCAGCCAUGCCGCGUGUGUGAAGAAGGUCUUCGGAUUGUAAAGCACUUUAAGUUGGGAGGAAGGACAGUAAGUUAAUACCUUGCUGUUUUGACGUUACCAACAGAAUAAGCACCGGCUAACUUCGUG
Molecule: ribosomal RNA, 484 nt
Filed under: uncultured bacterium
Lineage: Bacteria
Description: partial 16S ribosomal RNA
Rfam family: Bacterial small subunit ribosomal RNA
Source: RNAcentral